UACAGAGGGUGCGAGCGUUGUUCGGAAUCACUGGGCGUAAAGCGCACGUAGGCGGAUUGUUAAGUCAGGGGUGAAAUCCUGGAGCUCAACUCCAGAACUGCCUUUGAUACUGGCGAUCUUGAGUCCGGGAGAGGUGAGUGGAACUGCGAGUGUAGAGGUGAAAUUCGUAGAUAUUCGCAAGAACACCAGUGGCGAAGGCGGCUCACUGGCCCGGUACUGACGCUGAGGUGCGAAAGCGUGGGGAGCAAACAGG
RNAcentral lists this ribosomal RNA (253 nucleotides) under uncultured bacterium. Its description in RNAcentral is "partial 16S ribosomal RNA". It matches the Rfam family "Bacterial small subunit ribosomal RNA", at positions 524 to 776 of the family's 1533-position model. The record is from RNAcentral.